RNAcentral lists this ribosomal RNA (770 nucleotides) under uncultured Actinomycetes bacterium. RNAcentral describes it as "bacterial SSU rRNA". It matches the Rfam family "Bacterial small subunit ribosomal RNA", at positions 8 to 795 of the family's 1533-position model. Lineage: Bacteria; Bacillati; Actinomycetota; Actinomycetes. The record is from RNAcentral.
AGAGUUUGAUUAUGGCUCAGGAUGAACGCUGGCGGCGUGCUUAACACAUGCAAGUCGAACGAGGUCCAACCUUCGGGUGAAGACCGAGUGGCGAACGGGUGAGUAACACGUGGGGAACCUGCCCUUCUCUCUGGGAUAACCUCGGGAAACCGAAGCUAAUACCGGAUACUCCUUGCGGACCGCAUGGUCUGCUCGGGAAAGCUCCGGCGGAGAAGGAUGGCCCCGCGGCCCAUUAGCUUGUUGGUGGGGUAACGGCCCACCAAGGCGACGAUGGGUAGCCGAGCUGAGAGGCUGAUCGGCCACACUGGGACUGAGACACGGCCCAGACUCCUACGGGAGGCAGCAGUGGGGAACCUUGCGCAAUGGGCGAAAGCCUGACGCAGCAACGCCGCGUGCGGGAUGAAGGCUCUCGGGUCGUAAACCGCUUUCAGCAGGGAUGAAAAUGACAGUACCUGCAGAAGAAGCCCCGGCUAAAUACGUGCCAGCAGCCGCGGUAAUACGUAUGGGGCAAGCGUUAUCCGGAUUCAUUGGGCGUAAAGCGCGCGUAGGCGGCUUGUUAAGUCAGGCGUGAAAUCCGGGGGCUCAACCCGCGGCUUGCGUCUGAAACUGGCAGGCUUGAGUCUGGUAGAGGAAAGUGGAAUUCCUGGUGUAGCGGUGAAAUGCGCAGAUAUCAGGAGGAACACCAGUGGCGAAGGCGGCUUUCUGGGCCACGACUGACGCUGAGGCGCGAAAGCUAGGGGAGCGAACAGGAUUAGAUACCCCUGGUAGUC